GUUAAGUUUGGUUUUGGCUUAUAAUUUUAAUUUAUAUUUCAGUUUAUAUACAAGUUUUAGUGUGUUCGUUCAGAGGAAUUUUCUCAUGGUUUGUGAUGAUAUUGAAUUAUUUAAAUAAUAAUUUAAGAAUUAUUUUAGAUUAAGUGAUAGUAGUAACUAGUAUUGUACAAUAAAGGAGAUUUUGAUGCAGGGAUAUAUAAGAGUAUUGGCUAAAUUUGUGCCAGCAGCCGUGGUUAAACAGAUGAUGCAAUUAAAAUUGUUCGGUGAAUAGUAAAUAAAAAUUAAAAAUUAAUUUAAAAUUAAAUUUAAUAAGUGGAAUUAGAAAUUUAAAUAAAAUUAAAUUUAUUAUAUUUUAAGUCUUGUUAAAUUUUAUAAUUAAACUAGGAUUAGAUACCCUAUUAUAAAAAAUGUAAAAGGUUAUGCUAGAGGAGUAGUAGGUAUGUGCUUGAAAAUCAAAAAAUCUGGCGGUAUUUUAGUCUAUUCAGAGGAACCUGUCCUAUAAUUGAUGAUCCACGAUUAAUUGUACUUAAUUUCUAAGUUUGUAUAUCGUCGUAGGUUGAAUGUCUUUAAAAGGAUGAAUGUUCAUAAUUUAGAAGUGUAAAGGAAAUCAGAUCAAGAUACAGCCUAUAAUUAAGAAGAGAUGGGUUACAAUAAAUUUAUUUGGUAAGAUGGUUAUAAUAAUUAACAUUAUUGUAUAAAAUGGAUUUGAGGGUAAUAUAUUUAAGUUAAAAUGUAUGAUUUAAGCUCUAGAAUAUGUACAUAUCGCCCGUCGCUUCCAUCGAAAUUUAAGUUGGAAUAAGUCGUAACAUAGUAGGCGUACCGGAAGGUGUGCCUGGAUUGAA
RNAcentral lists this non-coding RNA (842 nucleotides) under Canthidium sp. DPP-2018. The record is from RNAcentral. Lineage: Eukaryota; Metazoa; Arthropoda; Insecta; Coleoptera; Scarabaeidae.